RNAcentral lists this unclassified non-coding RNA (150 nucleotides) under soil metagenome. RNAcentral's name for it is "partial internal transcribed spacer 1". The record is from RNAcentral.
CCGAGUUAUACAACUCAUCAACCCUGUGAACAUACCUAUAACGUUGCCUCGGCGGGAACAGACGGCCCCGUAACACGGGCCGCCCCCGCCAGAGGACCCCCUAACUCUGUUUCUAUAACGUCUCUUCUGAGUAAACAAGCAAAUAAAUUA